RNAcentral lists this long non-coding RNA (408 nucleotides) under Equus asinus (donkey). RNAcentral describes it as "lncRNA (ENSEASG00005037805.1)". The record is from RNAcentral. Lineage: Eukaryota; Metazoa; Chordata; Mammalia; Perissodactyla; Equidae.
CUUGGUAGAUGAUUCUGCCCUUCCUCUCAGACUGGCUACCAACAGUUUAGUUGGAAUUCUCAACCAUGUUAAUGAAUUUUGAAGAAAACCAACACCAUGAGAAAAAAAACAUGAAAGAAAUGAUAUUGGGGGAAAAAUAGCUACUCGAGAACAGCACCUAUGAUGGAACUGAUGCCAGGAUGUAGGUGCCAGAGCAGCAGGACACAACAGAAUCACCAAAAGCAGUGCUGACAAGGGAGGAAAAAGCUAUGUGACAUCUCGGGAACUAAGCGUAGCUCUUCAAGGAUCUCGGCUUUUGUAUUGAUCUGGGCUCCAAAGGUCAGAUCCCAGGCCUCAUAUCCAACCCCCGCUGGAGUCUUAAAAUGCAACUCCUUGGCUACCAGGACUGAGACCUCCAUAAACCGCGUG